Molecule: long non-coding RNA, 4668 nt
Organism: Passer domesticus (house sparrow)
Lineage: Eukaryota; Metazoa; Chordata; Aves; Passeriformes; Passeridae
Exons: 2
Source: RefSeq, a predicted model, not a curated record
UUUUAACCCCGUGUGUUCUCAGAGGCGUAUCCAAACCCUUAGUGGCCACAUUAAAUGCCAAUUUUGAAUUUGGCCACUGAUUGGCCCGACUUAGACCUUUCCAAAAACACAUUUCCGGGCCAAACCAUGACAAGGACAUAGUGUACCUUUUUGUCUUGAAAGGUUACAAAGUUCACUCUGGUGUAUCUGAUCAGAAAAAGGUGAAUGAACUUUGCAGAAAGGACAGAGAUAUAUUUUACUGACAAAGUUUAAACACAGUUUCAUUUCUAAAGACAUAAAUACAGAUAUAAUGUCCUCAGACAUAGCUGCUAGAUUUAGUUAUGCUUGAGCAGUUGGACUGUGAUAAACUCAAAAUAAAAAGGGUUUAUUGAACAAUAUCAGUUGGUCACAGCUGGUCUGGGCCAAAGUGUGCAUAAGUUGAAACACUGUUGACAAAGGGAUAACAGGGUCAAAAAACUGCAGUAACAUUGCAAUAUUUGAUCAUAUGCUCUUAGCUGUAUCACUAGAAACCUUUUAAAGCCCUGAACCAGCAGAUUUACAACUGCUGUGUUUAUGGUUGCUUUUAAAAAUAAGUUUAAUUGGCAAUGGGUUCCACAAUUUAACCACAAUAUGAGAAAGAUAAUUUCAUCAGUGAACCAAUUGUCAUCUUUUCAUGUAGUUGAAUAUUUCUUUGUUUUUGAAACACAGAAUGCAAGCAUUUGCUUUAAAUAUUUUUUCCAUUUUUUAUUUGCUCUGUAUUUACUAAAUAACCUCUUUCAUCCUUUUCUUAACACAACCAAUUCUCACAAAUUUCAGGGGUUUUUUUCUCAGAUUCUGACCAUUCCUAUCACUUUGCACUGAGUAUUUUAUUGAGUCCUGCUUCCUUUUGAAGAGCUCUAUAAACAGUGCAUGAUUGUCUCAAGAAUCUAAACCAAGUAAAUAAGGGAAAGAUAUCACCAUCUGAUAGGGAAACCACAACAAAAACAAGGAAAGAAGUACAUGAUUAGAGAAACAUUCAGGUACAAAAAUGUCUAAUUCUGCGAGAUAUGCACCAGAUAUCCCUUUUUUUUUUUUUUUUUUUUUGUGGGAUUCAAUUUAGAUGCUUUGCUUAGUCACAAGCUCCUCUGUCAGGAUCUGCCUUUUUCCAGUGACUACAUAAAUUCAUACACAGAGAACAUCACAUUUUUAAAUUAAAGGCCUAAAAUCAUAUGACCUGAAUCUCUUUCCAGAGAGACUAGCAAAAGGUUUUUUUAAGUUACUCAAAUCAGUCAUUGAAUACCUUUAAAAUUCUAGCUUUGAUUUUUUAAGGAUUAAAUAGGACACCUGAAGCCAAUUAGGAAAUUGAAUCCAGGUUGUCUUUGUUCAAAACUAGCACUGCAACAGUUAUUCUACUUCUCUAUCCUAUAAAAUAUGCAAAUUUGAGCAUUCCAAUUCUAGCUUUCAUUUUUGCUGUCGUGUCUAAUUAUGUAGAGGGAAAUAAAAACAAUUAUGACUUUUCAGAAAAAAGUGCUUUUAGUCACACAGUUACAGAUGAUGCUCACAGUUCCUUUGUACUAAUGCCCUAUUCAUUGAAAAGAUUUUAAAAUUAUCAUAAGAAAUUACCAUUUAGUAAAUAAUGAUACCCACAGAGGAAUGAAAACAAACCAAACCCAUUUUUAUUUCUCUUUAACAUUCAUAAAAGUUUAGUUUGCUUUUCUUCUCAAAUCUAUUUUUGAGCCAAGUAAAGUGCCCUCCUCCCCUAAGCUAUUAAAUUCCUUACAGUCUUUUUUUUGUCCUGAUGUGCCAUUUCAUUGACAUGUUGGAAUUAGCUCAGAGAUCACAACUGCCAAAGCCCUGUGAUCACACAGAGCUGGCCCUCCCACUACUGAUGCUGUUCAGAGCAUCCACAGCUACAGCUGCUCAAAAUGAGAUCAGCCAGCUUAUUCUCUGGGCUCUUUUCAAGAUUGCUCCUGUGGCUGCUCUGCUUCCACCUGCUCUGCCCUGAGCAAAGUGUUUCUACUGCACAAAUACUCAAGGACCAAGAUGAGUUCCAGUGUAUCUCACUUUUUAAGAGAAAAAAAAAGAAUCCCUUCAAAAAAAUAAAUCACAGAUUCUUGUCUCUGAUCUAGGUAAGGACUUCAGCAGUGCAUUUGAAUUUUCAUGAUGCUAUAUUCACUUUUGAUUUCCAUUAUUAGGAUUUUGAUAUAGAUUUUUUGCUACAUUUCAUAUCUAAAUAAUGUCACAAUUUGUUUAGAGAAUUUCACUUCAUUUCUUUGGUGCAGUGCCUGCAAGGAAGUUAAGCAAUUGCAAGCUCACCAAAGUAAGAAACCUUUAGGAAAGCACCAGAAUCACAGAAGAUAAAGCACAUAUCAAAAACCAUUUCCAUACUCCAGAACUGGUUCUGCUGGUUUUGUUGCUAUUCAAGUGGUUGUGUAGGUUUUGGUGUUUUUUAUUGUGAGUGGUGACAAAGUAAGAGAAGAAGAGUUUGUGAAACUAGAGAAUGAAAGCUGAAAAUUGUUCAGGGGGUGAAUUUCUCACCUGAUGGAUUGCCUGCCUACUAAUAUUUGCAGCUGUCAAUAUCUGCUAGCAUCUGUUGAAGAUUGUGUCACAAGGGGGACUGCUGCACCCGUAGCAUGGGCAUCCAAUGUUCCUGUUUGUUCCAGGAGUUUCUUCGACAAAACUAUAUCUUCCUUUGAUGAAAUGGAGGGAUGGCAUAAAAGCUCCAUCCCAUGUGAGGGAAGUGGCACCUCUAUUUCUUGCAACAAACAUUAGAAGAAAUUGAACAGGACAAAAGGACUGUGCUGGGAGACUAUUUUUAAUGAGGAAGAGAAAGGAAGAGAAAAACACUGAAGAGAUGGAACGAAGGAAACUUUUUAGCAAUGAAAUAGGGACACCUUCACUUUGACUCAAAAGGGCAUCCAUAAGAAUAUAAUUAUGUAAAUGUCAAGAAGGCUAGAAGUGGUUUUAAUGUUGUACAUUAAGAUAUAUAUUAAUAAUAUGAUGGAAUUGGGAGCAGAAAAGCCUAUACUAAAUAGAAUGAAAAACGUUCUGACAGGAAGUUACAUUAGGCUGUAGAAUAGUUUUCCACCGGGAAGCCAUCACUUAAGGGCUUUUUCUUCCAUCAGCAUGUUCCCCAAUUCUAUGAAGAUUCAUAUUCAGCUCUUCAUGUCUAAAUGGAAAAUUAAACAAGAGAGAUAAUUUCAGCAAGUCCCGAAGUCCCUCAGUAAUUUUAAAGAAAUUCAGUUACAUCCUCUUAUAAAAAUAUCCCUUGCUGGCGUUAAGUAUAGACACCACUCUAUAUAUUUUAUUGAGUUAUGUUUAAAAAUAAUUUAUUUAAUUAAAAAGUGAAGCUCUUUCUCUGAGUUUAGAUGUGAGGGGUUUUUUUUGUGAUAGGCCUGUCAUAUUUUGUCCUUCUUGCAAGACUUUGGGAGUAUUUGCUGUAUCUGGACUACAGAAUGCAUGCACACAAAAUGUUUUAAGUUCUAAAUACUGUCUAAAGUGCCUGUUUCUUGAACUUUGAAAGUCCAGGGGUCAAAGUAAAAGCUGCUUGAUUCAUUGAGGAUGCUGAGCUGCAUUUUCAAGUUCAAAAUACCCGUGAUCUGUGUGAGGCAGAAGACAAACCGAGCCUGAAGUCUGAGAUCAAGUCUGAGCUCUAGUCCUGGAGACAGGGUGUCUGUUUCUGUUAUUAUGAUUAAAACAUUGGCCUUUGAAGUAAUGGGGCAUAUCCAGAGGUAUGGGAACCUCACGGAAAAGUAGGUCUUUGCCAGAAAGUUAAAAGUUUCGAACAUCAACUCACGCUACAGUUUUUGUUCUGUUUGUGGGAUUUGUUUGUUUGCUUGCUUGUUUUUGGUUUUGGUUUUAUUUUCUGGCCUACCCUUUUCAAAUGAACCAUUUUUAACCAUUUUAAAAAUUAGGCAUGUAAGAUGUUUUCUCCUUAUUUUUUUUUUUUUUUGGUUCUUUUAUGUCACUUAGGACUGUGGUUUGCGUUUGGGGCAAGACAACUUUUAAGAUGUAUUAUGUUUUAUACUGCAACUGUGAGAGAGAGGAUUUUCUACUGCACUGCCCUUGGUCCAGAAAAUCAGGAUUUAAUUUACUUCUCUGUCAUAAAUUAUCUGUAUGAGAUAAGGCAUCUUGAGAUACAAAAAGAUUUUUCAGUAAUAUGCACAGUUGAGAAAGACCUUCUUAAGCACCAAGUGGAAUAUAACGCAAUAUACCUUUUGGAUAUUCAUCCCAUUUUCUAUGGAACCUUGAGUAAUUUACUCAAAUCUCUAUCUGUAUAAUGAUAUUUUAUGACUAUUUCAACAUAUUUAUGCAGUACUGUAAAACAAUUGUGUUACAAUGCAAAUAUUUUAAAAAUAUUUUUUAAAAACCCCAACUAUAUUUUCUCUUUUGUUAGACAAUUGCAAAAUUGCACGUUUUGCCAGAGAAUUUGUGUUUCAUACUGUUCAUGAAUUAUGGGGGUUGAUAACCACAAAACCUUUUUUUACCCCAGCAGAGAGAUGGAUGGUUGAAGCUAGUAAUAUUCUAUUGUAUCAAUGCCAUGUAUUUUAUUAUUUUUUGUUCAGCUUCUUGUGAAAAAAUACAGGUCUCACCUUUUAGGUUAUUCUAAAUGCAUUAAGUUUUCUGCUAAAAUGUUGCUUAUGGAUAAAUGAUUGUGGUUAUCAGUGUCUAAACUAUUGAUUAAAUAGCACAAAAAUUCUCACAUUAAAA